This 846-nucleotide ribosomal RNA is filed under the name uncultured archaeon. RNAcentral's name for it is "bacterial SSU rRNA". It matches the Rfam family "Archaeal small subunit ribosomal RNA", at positions 44 to 884 of the family's 1478-position model. The record is from RNAcentral.
CUAAGCCAUGCCAGUCAUGGGGCGCGCUCUGCGCGCACCGGCGGACGGCUCAGUAACACGUCGGUAACCUACCCUCGGGAGGGGGAUAACCCCGGGAAACUGGGGCUAAUCCCCCAUAGGCCUGGGGCACUGGAAGGUCCCCAGGCCGAAAGGGGCUUUUGCCCGCCCGAGGAUGGGCCGGCGGCCGAUUAGGUAGUUGGUGGGGUAACGGCCCACCAAGCCGAAGAUCGGUACGGGCCAUGAGAGUGGGAGCCCGGAGAUGGACACUGAGACACGGGUCCAGGCCCUACGGGGCGCAGCAGGCGCGAAACCUCCGCAAUGCGGGCAACCGCGACGGGGGGACCCCCAGUGCCGUGGCACAGCCACGGCUUUUCCGGAGUGUAAAAAGCUCCGGGAAUAAGGGCUGGGCAAGGCCGGUGGCAGCCGCCGCGGUAAUACCGGCGGCCCAAGUGGUGGCCGCUAUUAUUGGGCCUAAAGCGUCCGUAGCCGGGCCCGUAAGUCCCUGGCGAAAUCCCACGGCUCAACCGUGGGGCUUGCUGGGGAUACUGCGGGCCUUGGGACCGGGAGAGGCCGGGGGUACCCCUGGGGUAGGGGUGAAAUCCUAUAAUCCCAGGGGGACCGCCAGUGGCGAAGGCGCCCGGCUGGAACGGGUCCGACGGUGAGGGACGAAGGCCAGGGGAGCGAACCGGAUUAGAUACCCGGGUAGUCCUGGCCGUAAAGGAUGCGGGCUAGGUGUCGGGCGAGCUUCGAGCUCGCCCGGUGCCGGGGGGAAGCCGUUAAGCCCGCCGCCUGGGGAGUACGGCCGCAAGGCUGAAACUUAAAGGAAUUGGCGGGGGAGCACUACAA